GAAAUGCGAUAACUAGUGUGAAUUGCAGAAUUCAGUGAAUCAUCGAAUCUUUGAACGCACAUUGCGCCCGUCAGCAUUCUGGCGGGCAUGCCUGUUCGAGCGUCAUUUCAACCCUCAGGACCCCCCUUUCGCGGGGAGGGACCUGGCGUUGGGGAUCGGCCCGCCCCCCGUGGCGGCGCCGUCCCCGAAAUCUAGUGGCGGUCUCGCUGCAGCCUCCCCUGCGUAGUAGUUACAACCUCGCAUCGGAGCGCGGCGCGGCCACGCCGUAAAACCCCCGACUUUCUGAACGUUGACCUCGGAUCAGGUAGGAAUACCCGCUGAACUUAAGC
Molecule: unclassified non-coding RNA, 329 nt
Filed under: plant metagenome
Description: partial contains 5.8S ribosomal RNA, internal transcribed spacer 2, and large subunit ribosomal RNA
Rfam family: 5.8S ribosomal RNA (bases 1-105)
Source: RNAcentral